Non-coding RNA from Artibeus jamaicensis (Jamaican fruit-eating bat), 473 nucleotides. The record is from the annotation of a RefSeq genome assembly. Lineage: Eukaryota; Metazoa; Chordata; Mammalia; Chiroptera; Phyllostomidae.
AAGGCAGCACCUGGGGGGUCUCCACCAUGGCCUGGUCUCUGCUCUUCCUCAUUCUCCUGACUCAGGGCUCAGGUUCCUGGGCCCAGGCUCCCCUGACUCAGCCUCCCUCAGUGUCCGGGACUCUGGGACAGUCAGUCACCAUCUCCUGUGCUGGAAGCAGCAGUGAUGUUGGGCAUGCUACUCAUGUCUCUUGGUUCCAACAACAACCAGGCAUGACCCCCAAAAGCCUGAUUUAUGGAGUCAGCAGUAGGCCCUCAGGGAUCCCUGAUCGCUUCUCUGGCUCCAAGUCCAGUACCACGGCCUCACUGACCAUCUCUGGACUCCAGCCUGAGGAUGAGGCUGAUUAUUACUGUUGCUCCUAUACAACCAGUAGCACUCUCCACAGUGAUGCAAGUUCAUGGGGGAAGCGAGACCAAAACCUGCCCCGCACUCGCCGGUUCCCUCCUCUCUUUGAAGGCGCUUCCCCACCCUGA